Molecule: ribosomal RNA, 447 nt
Filed under: uncultured bacterium
Lineage: Bacteria
Description: bacterial SSU rRNA
Rfam family: Bacterial small subunit ribosomal RNA
Source: RNAcentral
ACCAGACUCCUACGGGAGGCAGCAGUGGGGGAUAUUGCACAAUGGGGGAAGCCCUGAUGCAGCGACGCCGCGUGGGUGAAGAAGUAUUUCGAUAUGUAAAGCACUAUCAGCAGGGAAGAAAGAAGACGGUACCUGACUAAGAAGCCCCGGCUAACUACGUGCCAGCAGCCGCGGUAAUACGUAGGGGGCGAGCGUUAUCCGGAUUCACUGGGUGUAAAGGGAGCGUAGACGGCCGUGCAAGCCAGGAGUGAAAGCCCGGGGCCCAACCCCGGGACUGCUCUUGGAACUGUGCGGCUGGAGUGCGGGAGGGGCAGGCGGAAUUCCUGGGGUAGCGGUGAAAUGCGUAGAUAUCAGGAGGAACGCCGGCGGCGAAGGCGGCCUGCUGGACCGCGACUGACGUUGAGGCUCGAAAGCGUGGGGAGCGAACAGGAUUAGAUACCCCGGUAC